GCUGGCGGCAGGCUUAACACAUGCAAGUCGAACGAAGUCUUCGGACUUAGUGGCAGACGGGUGAGUAACGCGUGGGAACCUACCUUUCGGUACGGAACAACAGUUGGAAACGACUGCUAAUACCGUAUGCGCCCUACGGGGGAAAGAUUUAUCGCCGAAAGAUGGGCCCGCGUUGGAUUAGCUAGUUGGUAGGGUAAUGGCCUACCAAGGCGACGAUCCAUAGCUGGUCUGAGAGGAUGAUCAGCCACACUGGGACUGAGACACGGCCCAGACUCCUACGGGAGGCAGCAGUGGGGAAUAUUGGACAAUGGGGGCAACCCUGAUCCAGCCAUGCCGCGUGAGUGAUGAAGGCCUUAGGGUUGUAAAGCUCUUUCAGCGAGGAGGAUAAUGACGUUACUCGCAGAAGAAGCCCCGGCUAACUUCGUGCCAGCAGCCGCGGUAAUACGAAGGGGGCUAGCGUUGUUCGGAAUCACUGGGCGUAAAGCGCACGUAGGCGGACUUUUAAGUCAGGGGUGAAAUCCCGGAGCUCAACUCCGGAACUGCCUUUGAUACCUGGAAGUCUUGAGUCCGAGAGAGGUGAGUGGAACUCCGAGUG
RNAcentral lists this ribosomal RNA (595 nucleotides) under uncultured Paracoccaceae bacterium. RNAcentral describes it as "bacterial SSU rRNA". It matches the Rfam family "Bacterial small subunit ribosomal RNA", at positions 35 to 675 of the family's 1533-position model. Lineage: Bacteria; Pseudomonadati; Pseudomonadota; Alphaproteobacteria; Rhodobacterales; Paracoccaceae. The record is from RNAcentral.